RNAcentral lists this ribosomal RNA (480 nucleotides) under Bacillus thuringiensis. RNAcentral describes it as "bacterial SSU rRNA". It matches the Rfam family "Bacterial small subunit ribosomal RNA", at positions 513 to 991 of the family's 1533-position model. Lineage: Bacteria; Bacillati; Bacillota; Bacilli; Caryophanales; Bacillaceae. The record is from RNAcentral.
AGCCGCGGUAAUACGUAGGUGGCAAGCGUUAUCCGGAAUUAUUGGGCGUAAAGCGCGCGCAGGUGGUUUCUUAAGUCUGAUGUGAAAGCCCACGGCUCAACCGUGGAGGGUCAUUGGAAACUGGGAGACUUGAGUGCAGAAGAGGAAAGUGGAAUUCCAUGUGUAGCGGUGAAAUGCGUAGAGAUAUGGAGGAACACCAGUGGCGAAGGCGACUUUCUGGUCUGUAACUGACACUGAGGCGCGAAAGCGUGGGGAGGAAACAGGUUUAGAUACCCUGGUAGUCCACGCCGUAAACGAUGAGUGCUAAGUGUUAGAGGGUUUCCGCCCUUUAGUGCUGAAGUUAACGCAUUAAGCACUCCGCCUGGGGAGUACGGCCGCAAGGCUGAAACUCAAAGGAAUUGACGGGGGCCCGCACAAGCGGUGGAGCAUGUGGUUUAAUUCGAAGCAACGCGAAGAACCUUACCAGGUCUUGACAUCCUC